This 207-nucleotide ribosomal RNA is filed under the name uncultured bacterium. RNAcentral's name for it is "partial 16S ribosomal RNA". It matches the Rfam family "Bacterial small subunit ribosomal RNA", at positions 568 to 774 of the family's 1533-position model. The record is from RNAcentral.
CGCGCAGGCGGUCUUGUCCGUCAGGUGUGAAAGCUCGGGGCUCAACCCCGGAAGUGCACUUGAAACAGCAAGACUUGAAUACGGGAGAGGGAAGCGGAAUUCCUGGUGUAGAGGUGAAAUUCGUAGAUAUCAGGAGGAACACCGAUGGCGAAGGCAGCUUUCUGGACCGAUAUUGACGCUGAGGCGCGAAGGCGUGGGUAGCGAACG